This 769-nucleotide non-coding RNA is filed under the name Alectorobius rudis. Lineage: Eukaryota; Metazoa; Arthropoda; Arachnida; Ixodida; Argasidae. The record is from RNAcentral.
CAACGGGAAUGAAAUUUAUUUAAUUACUCUUCUUUCUCAAAUUAAAAUUAGUUAAAAAAUUUGAGAAAGAAGAGUAUAUUUAUAUAGUAAUAAAUAUUUGCACGAAUAGCUCUUUAUGUUAAUUAUUAGAUGUGAUUAGAAAAGAAGAUAUUUUUAUUAUUUUUGGGAGCCAAAAAUAGGCUAUUUUUGGAUCCUGGCGAAACUUGUGCCAGCCGCCGCGGUUAUACAGGUGGGAUGAAAUAUUUUUAUUAUUUAAUUAACUGUUUUUUUAUUAUUAUUAAUAAUCAGGUGAAAUUGUUGUUUAAGUUUAGAAAGGUUAAGUUUGGAAAUUUUUGUAGAUAAAGUAGGAUUAGAUACCCUAUUAUUGUGAAAUGUUAAAUUGGUAGUAUAUUAAAUGCUUAAAAAUCUAAAGAUUUUGGCGGUAUUUUAAGCUUUUUAGAGGAAUUUAUUCUGUAAUUGAUAUGGCUCAAAGAUCUUACUUAAUUUUGUUAAAACAGUUUGUGUAUUGCUAUCAUUUAAUAUUGUUUUGUUUGAAAACUAUAAAUUUUAAUUUUUUUAGAAAUGUUAGGUCAAAAUGCAGCUUAAAGUUGAGGUUGAAGUAAAUUACAUUAAUUUAUAUUUAUGGAAUUGAAAAAAAAAAUAAAGGAUUUAAAAGUAAAUUAAAAUUAUAAAGUUUAAUUGAAGAAAGUUUUGGAAUAUGCACAUAUCGCCCGUCACUCUCAUUUAUGAGAUAAGUCGUAACAAAGUAAAAGUACCGGAAGGUGUUUUU